Molecule: transfer RNA, 73 nt
Filed under: Stegodyphus mimosarum
Lineage: Eukaryota; Metazoa; Arthropoda; Arachnida; Araneae; Eresidae
Rfam family: tRNA
About the family: Transfer RNA (tRNA) molecules are approximately 80 nucleotides in length.
Source: Rfam by way of RNAcentral
GCCUUUGUGGUGUAGUGGUCAGCACUCUCGGCGCGUAUUCGAGAGGUCCGUGGUUCGACUCCCGGCAAGUGCG